RNAcentral lists this transfer RNA (72 nucleotides) under Candidatus Zixiibacteriota bacterium. Its description in RNAcentral is "candidate division Zixibacteria bacterium tRNA-Gly". It matches the Rfam family "tRNA". Rfam says of the family: Transfer RNA (tRNA) molecules are approximately 80 nucleotides in length. The record is from RNAcentral. RNAcentral also lists the same sequence under 2 other names. Lineage: Bacteria; Pseudomonadati; Candidatus Zixiibacteriota.
GCGGGAGUAACUCAGUGGUAGAGUCUCUCGUUGCCAACGAGAUUGUCGCGGGUUCAAAUCCCGUCUCCCGCU